This 685-nucleotide ribosomal RNA is filed under the name uncultured Gammaproteobacteria bacterium. RNAcentral describes it as "bacterial SSU rRNA". It matches the Rfam family "Bacterial small subunit ribosomal RNA", at positions 28 to 702 of the family's 1533-position model. Lineage: Bacteria; Pseudomonadati; Pseudomonadota; Gammaproteobacteria. The record is from RNAcentral.
AUUGAACGCUGGCGGCAGGCCUAACACAUGCAAGUCGAGCGGCAGCGGGAAGUAGCUUGCUACUUUGCCGGCGAGCGGCGGACGGGUGAGUAAUGUCUGGGAAACUGCCUGAUGGAGGGGGAUAACUACUGGAAACGGUAGCUAAUACCGCAUAAUGUCGCAAGACCAAAGAGGGGGACCUUCGGGCCUCUUGCCAUCAGAUGUGCCCAGAUGGGAUUAGCUAGUAGGUGGGGUAAUGGCUCACCUAGGCGACGAUCCCUAGCUGGUCUGAGAGGAUGACCAGCCACACUGGAACUGAGACACGGUCCAGACUCCUACGGGAGGCAGCAGUGGGGAAUAUUGCACAAUGGGCGCAAGCCUGAUGCAGCCAUGCCGCGUGUAUGAAGAAGGCCUUCGGGUUGUAAAGUACUUUCAGCGGGGAGGAAGGUGCUGAGGUUAAUAACCUCAGCAAUUGACGUUACCCGCAGAAGAAGCACCGGCUAACUCCGUGCCAGCAGCCGCGGUAAUACGGAGGGUGCAAGCGUUAAUCGGAAUUACUGGGCGUAAAGCGCACGCAGGCGGUCUGUCAAGUCGGAUGUGAAAUCCCCGGGCUCAACCUGGGAACUGCAUUCGAAACUGGCAGGCUAGAGUCUUGUAGAGGGGGGUAGAAUUCCAGGUGUAGCGGUGAAAUGCGUAGAGAUCUGGA